This 1206-nucleotide unclassified non-coding RNA is filed under the name Hevea brasiliensis (rubber tree). The record is from RNAcentral. Lineage: Eukaryota; Viridiplantae; Streptophyta; Magnoliopsida; Malpighiales; Euphorbiaceae.
GAAAUCUUCAAAGAAAUGGGAGAGCAAAAGGUGGAAGAAUCACCCGCUAAAAAUGAAGCCGAGAAGAAGCCGGCAGCAGCACCUGCUCCAGCUCCGGCCCCCGCGGCGGUGCCGGUUGCCACGGACGGCGGAGCAAUCACCGCCAUAUACAAAAUCGACAUGCAUUGUGAAGGAUGUGCAAAGAAGAUUAAACGAGCUGUCCGACAUGUCAAAGAUGUGGAGAGUGUGAAGGCGGAUUGUGGGGCGAAUAAGUUAACUGUGAUUGGGAAAAUGGACGUUGUUGCUGUGAAACAGAAAUUAGAGCUUAAAACCAAGAAGAAAGUGGAGAUUAUUUCCCCUCAGCCCAAGAAGGAUGCCGUCGCCGCCGCUCCCGCCGCCGAGAAGAAGGCUGAGGAGAAGAAGCCUGAAGAGAAAAAAGCUCCUGAAGAGAAACCCAAAGAGAGCACCGUCGUUUUGAAGAUCCGGCUACAUUGUGAAGGUUGCAUUCAAAAAAUCCGCAAAAUCAUCUCGAAAAUCAAUGGAGUUCAAUCGGUGAAUUUUGACGGAGUCAAAGAUUUGGUUACGAUUAAAGGAACAAUGGAUGUGAAGCAACUUGAGCCAUAUCUCAAAGACAAACUCAAAAGAAGCGUCGAAAUUGUUCCACCCAAGAAGGAAGAGCCAGCCGGAGAAAAGAAAAAAGAAGAAUCCCCUGCUCCCGCCGCCGCCGCCGUCGCUGGUGGCGGUGAAAAGAAGAAGGAAGAAGCCGGUGGCGGUGGUGAGAAAAAGGAAAAGGAAGGCGGUGGGGGCGAAAAGAAAGAAAAAGAAGGCGGUGGGGAUGAAAAGAAAGAAAAGGAAGGCGGUGGAGGUGAGAAGAAAGAGGUUGAAUCGAAACCGGCACCACCGCCUGCCGCCGAGGGCGGCGGGGCUAAGCCGGCGGAUGUAGUGAACAAGUUGGAAUAUUACGGCGGGUAUCCGUACCAACCACUAUACUACGAGGCACCGAUGCAGUACCAUAGCUACUCAAUGGAAGCUAACCCGAGUUACUAUAACCCCAACUAUGGUUACAAUAACCAUGGUUACACAGACCAUAGAUACGACGUCGUUCCGAUGGACCACCACUUCCCUAACCACAUGCAACCGGAUCAGCCGCAGAUGUUCAGCGAUGAGAAUCCCAACGCCUGUUCCAUCAUGUAAGAUACCGAUCAACGGCUGAGGUUUCAUCUUGAG